Haplochromis burtoni (Burton's mouthbrooder) is the source of this 878-nucleotide long non-coding RNA. RefSeq lists it as uncharacterized. Lineage: Eukaryota; Metazoa; Chordata; Actinopteri; Cichliformes; Cichlidae. The transcript is spliced from 3 exons. The record is from RefSeq and is a predicted model, not a curated record.
CAGCGGUGAAUACUGGUGUGAGACUGGAGCAGGAGAGAAAAGCAUCAGUGUCAACAUCACAAUAACUCCUGGUUCUGUUGUCCUAGAGAGUCCUGUUGUCCCUGUCAAGGAGGGAAACAAUGUGACUCUGCGCUGCAGGAACAAGACAAAGACUUCAAACCUCACGGCUGAUUUCUAUAAAGAUGGCUUCCUCAUCGGGAACAGCUACACAGGAGAGAUGACCAUCCACAAAGUUUCCAGGUCUGAUGAAGGACUCUACAAGUGUAAGAUGUUUGAUACUGGAGAAUCACCAGAGAGCUUGUUGACUGUCACAGCACUUCACAGAGAGACCUGCUCAUCUUCUUGUUCUGCCGUCCAGGUGUUCCUAAUGUUGAGGACUAUUUUCACCAUUGUGAUGGUGGUUCUGCUGCUUUUGUUAGUGGGAUUACUUCACUUUGGAAAACUCAGUGUUACACAGACAUAAAUGGUAUCUGUAUAUAAAGAUGACUGAUGGAGAAUGUUCUGGAAGUUUUAACAUUUAGAUAAUAAAACAGUGCAGUGAACUGGACAAUUAUAAGAGCUACACUAUGACAGGUGAUUGCAAAUAUUGUAAAAAAUACUUCGACUUCAGUUUUUUUUUCUAUAUACUUUUUUUCCUGCAGUAUUCUGUUGACUUUGUUGGUUGCUGUUAAACUUGUCAUGCACAGAAGAGUUUAAAACCACAGGCCUGCUGAGCAUGUUUAAAGACCUCUCAGUAUCUCAGUUUACUCAGCGUGUAGUGAUUUUAGAUGCUGCAGACACUCCAGUAAUUUUAGCUUCUUAGAGACAAACCGCACGAGAAAACGUUUGUUCACAGUAGAGUUAAUACUUCAGUGUGAUCAUUUCAGUCUCAGCUUGUG